ACACUAGUUGAUCUUAUUGAUGACCGAAUUGAUUCUUCUAGUAAGAUCGAUUUGUGU
RNAcentral lists this microRNA precursor (57 nucleotides) under Solanum tuberosum (potato). Its description in RNAcentral is "miR7987 stem-loop (stu-MIR7987)". The record is from miRBase by way of RNAcentral. Lineage: Eukaryota; Viridiplantae; Streptophyta; Magnoliopsida; Solanales; Solanaceae.